AUUGAACGCUGGCGGCAGGCCUAACACAUGCAAGUCGAGCGGAUGAAGGGAGCUUGCUCCUGGAUUCAGCGGCGGACGGGUGAGUAAUGCCUAGGAAUCUGCCUGGUAGUGGGGGACAACGUUUCGAAAGGAACGCUAAUACCGCAUACGUCCUACGGGAGAAAGCAGGGGACCUUCGGGCCUUGCGCUAUCAGAUGAGCCUAGGUCGGAUUAGCUAGUUGGUGAGGUAAAGGCUCACCAAGGCGACGAUCCGUAACUGGUCUGAGAGGAUGAUCAGUCACACUGGAACUGAGACACAGUCCAGACUCCUACGGGAGGCAGCAGUGGGGAAUAUUGGACAAUGGGCGAAAGCCUGAUCCAGCCAUGCCGCGUGUGUGAAGAAGGUCUUCGGAUUGUAAAGCACUUUAAGUUGGGAGGAAGGGUUGUAGAUUAAUACUCUGCAAUUUUGACGUUACCGACAGAAUAAGCACCGGCUAACUCUGUGCCAGCAGCCGCCGUAA
This 500-nucleotide ribosomal RNA is filed under the name uncultured bacterium. Its description in RNAcentral is "partial 16S ribosomal RNA". It matches the Rfam family "Bacterial small subunit ribosomal RNA", at positions 30 to 523 of the family's 1533-position model. The record is from RNAcentral.